This 1509-nucleotide long non-coding RNA is filed under the name Felis catus (domestic cat). RNAcentral's name for it is "lncRNA (ENSFCAG00000047417.1)". Lineage: Eukaryota; Metazoa; Chordata; Mammalia; Carnivora; Felidae. The record is from RNAcentral.
AUGCUGGGCUCAAGCUGGUUCUUGGCAGGGCUGGGGUCGAGGGUCCUGGAGAGACUUUGAGAUCUCCCACUUGAGAGCUAGGCCAGAUUGGUCCACUUUCUGGGCUCUGCUGGAAGGCAAAACAUCAACCCAUACCGACACCAAUAAUAACUGUCCCUCCCUCCCAGGAGUACUGUACCCUGCAGCUUACAAAGCACUUUUCUUGCCACUACCUCAUUUGAUCCUCACAAACUUGGUGUUAUUGCCAUUUGACAGAUGAGAAAACAGAUGGUCAGAGAAGCUAAGUCACUAGUACAGGGUACCAGAACUAAGAGGAUAUGCCAGUACUUGGACCCAGUAGCCCAUACAUGUUUUAGGAAAAGUUUCUUGGGUCUCGUGGGUCCCCUGGAUCUGAAUCACCCAGAAAAGACAGCCCUUCCGAUGCUUGAAUACGGGGCCCUGAAUUUCCAUCAGGUUUCCUAACUUUGGAUAUUAGAGCAGGAGGGCUAAAUCUCCCACUGUACAGAUGGGAAAACUGAGGUGUGGAGAAGAGAAGAGUCUUGCCCAAGUCCAUAAGCCAGAUAAGAUCCUGGCCUCCAUCCCCUAGGCUCUCAGAUGAAGUUCCUGGGACUUUCACAGCUCUCUCUCCUCCUGGCAACAGGGAGGCCUGUGUCUGGGGACAGUGGGAGGAACAGUUUAGGGCAAGAAUCCUCCAAAUCGAAGAGGGAGCCUGGCAGAGGUGGGGAGGGGUUAGCCUUAGAAAAUGCACUUUGCCUUUAGGCCUUAUUUCCUAAGAGAGAGAUGUGUCACUAAAGCAAGGAGGAGCUGGUGGCGACUUUUAAUUUUGUUUUGUUUUCCACCAUUUGCUUUUCCAGGCAGGAGGACUGCAGAGGUGCUGAGCCAAUCCCUCUCCAGGCCUGCUCCGCUUGGGGCGCAGGGGCCUGUGAGUCUAGGGCUGAGCCAGGGCCUGUGUGCAGAUGGAGGUGAGAGUGUUUUCUGUGGCCUAUCAGAGCCCAACCCAGAACCAGGGUGGGGCUCUGUCUGGGCCUGGGUGGAGAUCUUUUGUCACCGGGCUCAGGCCCAGUUUGUGACCAGGGUCAGGGCUCAUCCUGAGAUCAGGGAACGGGGAGAAGCAGCCCUUCCAGGACAGACCCAGCCCAGGAUUCCAACUCCAAGAUGCUUCACAUUUACUCCAGCUACACGGCCACCCGUUCUCUUCUGGAAGCCUGCUCCUGCCCCUACGUCUUGGAGCCCACAACUGACCCCUGAUCUCUGCGCAUCUGGCUGCUCAUCCUUCCAGCCUCAGCCCGAAGAGGCCUCCCCUGACCUCUCCCUCUGAAGGGCUCCUCUCUCUGUUUCGGCCCUCUCACAUUUCAGGCCCUGCAGUUGCCUCAUCUAUGGAUGUGUUACCGGUUUGACUCUCUUCCCCACUAGAUUGUAAGCCCCAUGGGCCAGGGACCUCAUCCUCUGCUAUAUUGGCACCUGGUUGGUGCCGAAUAAAUGGAUAUGGAAUCAAUGAAUAGAUGUCCA